RNAcentral lists this ribosomal RNA (135 nucleotides) under Leptogium rivulare. Its description in RNAcentral is "5.8S ribosomal RNA". It matches the Rfam family "5.8S ribosomal RNA", at positions 4 to 138 of the family's 154-position model. Rfam says of the family: 5.8S ribosomal RNA (5.8S rRNA) is a component of the large subunit of the eukaryotic ribosome. It is transcribed by RNA polymerase I as part of the 45S precursor that also contains 18S and 28S rRNA. The record is from RNAcentral. Lineage: Eukaryota; Fungi; Ascomycota; Lecanoromycetes; Peltigerales; Collemataceae.
UUUCAACAACGGAUCUCUUGGUUCCGGCAUCGAUGAAGACCGCAGCGAAAUGCGAUAAGUAAUGUGAAUUGCAGAAUCCAGUGAAUCAUCGAAUCGUUGAACGCACAUUGCGCCCCCCGGCAUUCCGGGGGGCAU